Molecule: long non-coding RNA, 512 nt
Organism: Cyprinus carpio carpio
Lineage: Eukaryota; Metazoa; Chordata; Actinopteri; Cypriniformes; Cyprinidae
Source: Ensembl
ACUUAGCCUUAUUGGCUAAUAUUAGACAUAAUUUAGUCGCGAGAGUGAAGAUUUAGUCGCAUAUGCGAGUGAUUUACUCGCAAUGUAGAGGGUUGGACUGCUAUGUUCAUUAUUAGAUCCAACAAUAUAACACCUCAAUCGCUUAGAAGUCAUUCUAAUCUGGUCCGCCGUCGAAACAAUGGUGGACUGAUGACAGCUCACUCAGAGCAGAUCUAAGCGCUGUAUUUCGGUCCAGUCGCUUCCAUUCAGCAGCAGUGCGGACACAAGACAGGUGUCAUCUUCCCUGACCAUGGAGGCAAAAGCAGGCCUGACCCAGGAACAACCAAGCAGCAGGGAUGAGAGGAGAAUGUAAAAUGAAAGCAGCUGUAUGCUGAGACGGAAACUUUGAGAGGAGAUGGCAAAAGGAGGGGGCGUUGAAUCUUCAUGAAUGAAAAGAGAAAAAGAAGAGCAGUGAGAAAUUAAGGUGUAUGUAAAUAAAUGGUGGUUGACUGUGCAAAAUAGUUUUUUGUUUU